This is a non-coding RNA of Lolium perenne, 2018 nucleotides long. The record is from RefSeq and is a predicted model, not a curated record. NCBI's taxonomy places the organism in Eukaryota, Viridiplantae, Streptophyta, Magnoliopsida, Poales, Poaceae.
AGAUGCAAUUUGAGCUAUCCCGUCCCAGCCCGAGCCCCAGCCAUCGUGUACUACCCUCAUAACGCCUCUUCCCCCUCCCCUUUCCUCUACCUCCGCCGCCGGCCUAGAUCCCGGCCAACUCCGGCCACUCCCUGCCCCGCCGAUUAUCUCCCCGGGCCCCCUCUCCCCCGGUUUCUAUCCCACCUCGUGGAACCACCAAAUCACAACUCCAGCAGAAACCCUAGCCCCAGAUCCCGCAUGAACACAGAGGAGCAGGAGGUCCAUGGUGAUGGCGGCUCCCAGGAAGCAUGAGGUGGUGAGCAUGCUCGGCGACAGGAUUCACCGCGUGGGGCUACGAGCCCUGGCCUUCACCGACGACGGCGUUAACUGACCUGCAGGACAGCCGACAACCGCGCUCGGGCGCUGCAGACGGCCCAAGCUACGGCCAGCCCUCCUCCUCGCGUUCGCCAUCAGGCCGGCCUCCACCGUCACGCUCGCCUCCGACGACAGAACUCAUAUGAAGGGUGCUUAAUUUAUCAGUUCUUUUCUAGUGGAAAGUUGACCAGGACAGAGGACAUUCACAACUUUGCUUCAAUCCCAAAGCGCCAGGACGGUCCACAGCUGUUGCUGAUCCGGAUUGGACAGGAGAAUGAUGUCCUUGGCCUGGUUUUCCUUGACCCACAGGCGCUGCUCGUCUGGAUUGGAUCGGAGGUUGACGUCCUCAGUCCGUUCUUCUUUUACACUGCCUUUUUCAUCAUCUUCUUGGCAGGUAUGUCUGUCUUUUUCAUCCUUUUUCUUUCACUUGUUCUUUGUGCUGCUUGAUGUAGAGUCCUGUUUGUGCUUCUUGUGGUAGAGUCCCAUCUUAAUUGCAUUGAUAAAAAAUAAUAAGUUAAGGUCGGUUGUAACUAGGUAAAAGCACUUACGCUUUGUAAAUGCUGUGUAAGCUAAUUUGAAGAUAGCAAUGAGUGCUAGUCCUUAAUGUCAAAAGGUUGGAAGUUAUUGCACCUACUGCCUGUACAUACAAGAAUUGAACUAUCUUGAGAUAAUAGUGUUUUCAUACCCUUGAAACCUCCUUGAACAAUCUGCUACAUCACAAAUCUAUAUAAAUAAAUUUUGCUCAUUUUGUUGUUGUUAUGCUCAUUGCAAUAUGACCAAGAUAUACACUCCCAUAUAUGUGUUGAUCUUGGUCUGUUUCCUCUUAUUUGCAUGUAACACAUGUUCCGGUUUUUUCAGCUAUGUUGCGUCACAUUUGUAUUUUCAGUGACUUCUUGAUGUCAAUAUCAGUCUCAGUUGUGUAGUUACCAUGUCAUUUUUUUCAUGCCUGUAAUUUGCAAACGGUUAACAUAGGUAGUAGCUGGACGUUGCUAUAACAGAUACCUACAUUUGUUGUUCUAAAAGAUUUUGUAAUCUAUAUAUUGUUUAUUGUCAUUAUUUGCUUCCAUAGAUCCAUCAGAUAUUUGGAUAACUGCUAUAUUGAUCACCUUUAGUCCUUCUACAGGUUAUUCUGAGUACUGAUGUUAGAAUUCUAUUUCUAUGUUCUGGGAAGCUGAUUAUCCUUGCAAACAACUGCUCUCCGCUUAGGAAGUCAAAAUCGAGUACUUUGCUAUGUUAAAGAUUAGCUUGCACCAUUUCCAGGCAAAGUAAGACAGUUCUAUCUUUUCUGAACACAUAUUUUUUUAUUGCUUCACUAUUCCAACACCUGAUGCAUAUUUUAGGGAUGUCACAGGGCUGGAAAUAACUAUGUUUGAUACUCUUGUUAUCCCUUAUUUAUAUAUCUUCAUUACAUGUGCACUUGUGCCGAGAUUACUUGAGUGAAAUAUAGGAAAUGGACUGGGGCAAAUUUGACGUUUCUUUUCGUGUGUAGUGCACCAGGCUGAAAAAGCUCCAACACGUGAAGCACCACCCAGGAGGAAAACAGUAGCUAGUUAGUGUAGAGAGCACGUUAUAUUUUUGAUAUCUGGGAUAUUAUCUGUACAUACGUGAUUUGAUCUGUGGAGAUGUUGUAAUAGACUAUGGAUGUUAUCAAAAGAAUUUCAUAA